Molecule: long non-coding RNA, 472 nt
Filed under: Ananas comosus (pineapple)
Lineage: Eukaryota; Viridiplantae; Streptophyta; Magnoliopsida; Poales; Bromeliaceae
Description: long non-coding RNA (ACOM_LNC012623)
Source: RNAcentral
UCCCUAAUCAUAAUCGUUCAUUUGCAACUUAAUUUAAAGGCUAAAUUACAGAAAACUCUCCUGUAAAAACUCGAAUUUUUACUUUCUCCCCAUGUCAUUUAAAAACCUAUACUUUGCCCCCUUAUAAAAUGAAAAAUGUUCAUAGGGAGAUACGGUGUGAACUGUGAUGAUAAAAUGAUCAUUUCGUCCCUCACCAUUUUGCCCUUCACCAUGUUCACAGGAGAUAAAGCUGAGGGCAUUUUUGGCAUAAAAAUAUAUAUAAUAAUAUUUUAUAAACGGAACCCUAACGGAUUACUAACGACAGGGGGCGAAGUGAACAUUUUUUAUUUUACAAGGGAACAAAACAAAGUGUAGGUUUUUAAAUGACAGGGGGGAAAAGUGAAAAAUCAAGUUUUGACAGGAGGAUUUUAUGUAAUUUAGCCUAAUUUAAAAAAUGUCUCCCUCUCCUCUCCUUCUUCAUCAUCUCCUCCAU